GCGUACACUGCAUCUAGCUGAUCAGCAUGCCGCGUGAGUGAUGAAGGCCUUAGGGUUGUAAAGCUCUUUUACCAGGGAUGAUAAUGACAGUACCUGGAGAAUAAGCUCCGGCUAACUCCGUGCCAGCAGCCGCGGUAAUA
RNAcentral lists this ribosomal RNA (140 nucleotides) under uncultured bacterium. RNAcentral's name for it is "partial 16S ribosomal RNA". The stretch from base 34 to 140 matches the Rfam family "Bacterial small subunit ribosomal RNA", at positions 401 to 525 of the family's 1533-position model. The record is from RNAcentral.